Molecule: transfer RNA, 87 nt
Filed under: Candidatus Buchananbacteria bacterium RBG_13_36_9
Lineage: Bacteria; Candidatus Buchananiibacteriota
Description: tRNA-Leu
Rfam family: tRNA
About the family: Transfer RNA (tRNA) molecules are approximately 80 nucleotides in length. Their secondary structure includes four short double-helical elements and three loops (D, anti-codon, and T loops).
Source: RNAcentral
GCCGAGGUGGCGGAAUUGGUAGACGCACUACUUUGAGGUGGUAGCGGCCGCAAGGCUGUGCAGGUUCAAAUCCUGUCCUCGGCAUCA